UAGGGGCAGUGAGGUGGCUUAAUGGAUAGAGAGUCAGCCCUAAGAGAUGGGAGGUCCUGGGUUCAUUGGGCAUUGGACACUUCCUAGCUUUGUGUGACUCUGGGCAAGUCACUUAACUCCCAUUGUCUAACCCUUCUGCUCUUCUACCUUGGAACCAAUACAUAGUAUUGAUUCUAAAAUAGAAGGUAAGGUGGGUGGAAUGAAAAUGACCAAGGAGUCAAAAUGAAGUUAUUUCUAUUCAAGUAAAAAAUAGAUGUAAGUCUCUCCUGAAACUGCUUGGAAAAGGUGGAGAAUACAGCUGGAAGCUCCAAGUCUCAGAUUCUCAAUUACAUGUGAACCUUGGCUUCUAUAGAAUCAACAAGAAGACCAUGCCCAGUGCUUUGAAGGAAAAACACUAAUCAUCUAAGAUCCUCUGUUCUAAGAACAACAUUGGUGAGAUGAAUAAGACUUUGAAUUUCUUAUCAAGUUAUUACAUUUCCCAUUGCUCAUUAGAGUAACUACUCAAUUUUCUUGCUUUUUAUUUUCUUUAAUAAAGCUGAAUAGAAUUAACUGGCUAAAUCCCUU
This 564-nucleotide long non-coding RNA is filed under the name Monodelphis domestica (gray short-tailed opossum). Its description in RNAcentral is "lncRNA (ENSMODG00000048238.1)". Lineage: Eukaryota; Metazoa; Chordata; Mammalia; Didelphimorphia; Didelphidae. The record is from RNAcentral.